Molecule: long non-coding RNA, 205 nt
Organism: Neomonachus schauinslandi (Hawaiian monk seal)
Lineage: Eukaryota; Metazoa; Chordata; Mammalia; Carnivora; Phocidae
Exons: 3
Source: RefSeq, a predicted model, not a curated record
GACUACGGAAGCCGGAAGCGCUGGGCUAAGCAUUUCCUGAGCUAAGGGCUGCUUACCGUUCUGAGGCCUUGGAGAUACAAAGAUGAAAACAACUGAUUCUUGAGUGGUGCACAGUCCAAUAGAGGAUCAGACAUAAGAAGAAAUGGGGCAUAUUAUGAAUACAACUGUAGCUGCAUGAAAAUUUACUAAGAAGACAGAAAACCUG